Molecule: small nucleolar RNA, 154 nt
Organism: Camelus dromedarius (Arabian camel)
Lineage: Eukaryota; Metazoa; Chordata; Mammalia; Artiodactyla; Camelidae
Source: Ensembl
UGACGGCCGUCCCUCUCACUGCUUGGGUGGAGCCUUAGGUCGUGGGGUUUCAGUAAACAUCAUAUAUCCAACCGGACUGGUCUUCACUCAGGGCACCGUGGGCAUGGGCUGGCUGUCCGUUAGUGCCUUCUGAUUUCUGCAGAGUCAAACAACU